Molecule: ribosomal RNA, 422 nt
Filed under: uncultured prokaryote
Description: bacterial SSU rRNA
Rfam family: Bacterial small subunit ribosomal RNA
Source: RNAcentral
UGAGGAAUAUUGGUCAAUGGGCGGAAGCCUGAACCAGCCAUGCCGCGUGCAGGAAGACGGCCCUACGGGUUGUAAACUGCUUUUCUGCGGGAAGAACGGCCCCUACGUGUGGGGGUGUGACGGUACCGCAGGAAUAAGGAUCGGCUAACUCCGUGCCAGCAGCCGCGGUAAUACGGAGGAUCCGAGCGUUAUCCGGAUUUACUGGGUUUAAAGGGUGCGUAGGCGGCUCCCUCAGUCAGCGGUGAAAUGUGUCGGCUCAACCGACAACCUGCCGUUGAUACUGGGGAGCUUGAGUGGGGUUGAGGCAGGCGGAAUGGGCGGUGUAGCGGUGAAAUGAAUAGAUAUCGCACAGAACGCCGAUUGCGUAGGCAGCUUGCCAAGCCCACACCGACGCUGAGGCACGAAAGCGUGGGGAUCAAACA